This 332-nucleotide ribosomal RNA is filed under the name uncultured bacterium. RNAcentral describes it as "bacterial SSU rRNA". It matches the Rfam family "Bacterial small subunit ribosomal RNA", at positions 568 to 898 of the family's 1533-position model. The record is from RNAcentral.
CGUGCAGGCGGUCUGGUAAGUCGGGCGUGAAAUCUCUCGGCUCAACCGAGAGGGGUCGUCCGAUACUGCUGGACUUGAGGGCAGUAGAGGAAGGUGGAAUUCCCGGUGUAGUGGUGAAAUGCGUAGAUAUCGGGAGGAACACCAGUGGCGAAGGCGGCCUUCUGGGCUGCCCCUGACGCUCAGACGCGAAAGCUAGGGGAGCGAACGGGAUUAGAAACCCCGGUAGUCCUAGCCGUAAACUAUGCAGACUGGGUGUCGGCGGUCUCAACCCCGCCGGUGCCGUAGCCAACGCGAUAAGUCUGCCACCUGGGGACUACGGCCGCAAGGUUAAA